This 338-nucleotide ribosomal RNA is filed under the name uncultured bacterium. RNAcentral describes it as "bacterial SSU rRNA". It matches the Rfam family "Bacterial small subunit ribosomal RNA", at positions 29 to 357 of the family's 1533-position model. The record is from RNAcentral.
AACGAACGCUGGCGGCGCGCCUAAUACAUGCAAGUCGAGCGGAGAAGACGUAGCAAUACGUUUGUAAAGCGGCGAACGGGUGAGGAAUACAUGGGUAACCUACCCUCGAGUGGGGAAUAACUAGCCGAAAGGUUAGCUAAUACCGCGUACGCUCCUUGGACUUCGGUUCAGGGAGGAAAGCGAUACCGUGGGUAUCGCGCUCGUUGGAUGGGCUCAUGUCCUAUCAGCUUGNGGUGAGGUAACGGCUCACCAAGGCUUCGACGGGUAGCUGGUCUGAGAGGACGAUCAGCCACACUGGCACUGCGACACGGGCCAGACUCCUACGGGAGCAGCAGUAA